CUGACAGGAGUUUUGCAGGCAGGGUGAAAACGACCUCAGCUGAGGGCAAAGGAACUUCAAGAGAGAAUACUAUAAAGACCAAGGAAGAGAACCAACCAUAAUUGAAUCAAGAGAGAAGGUGAGAGAGACAGAGAAACAUUGAAGUGAGAGAGAAACAUCUGUCUUGGUUGCCUCCUGUACAUGCCCUACUGAGCCUGGAACCAGCAAUCUAGGAUUUUAUAACUCUGACUUGACUCUUUGAUAUCAUCAGAAUGCAACAAAUUUGACUUUGGUGUGGAGACUGAAGAUAAGACUUGCUAUGCUUUUAGCAAAAUGAGACAGGUUGGCAGUGUGGAGUCUUCUAUGAAUGUGGUGCAAUGACCAGUGAGGCAGCAAAGGGGAAAAGUGGUUACAAGGUA
Long non-coding RNA from Phyllostomus hastatus (greater spear-nosed bat), 398 nucleotides. RefSeq lists it as uncharacterized. NCBI's taxonomy places the organism in Eukaryota, Metazoa, Chordata, Mammalia, Chiroptera, Phyllostomidae. The record is from RefSeq and is a predicted model, not a curated record. The transcript has 4 exons.